This 390-nucleotide ribosomal RNA is filed under the name uncultured bacterium. RNAcentral's name for it is "bacterial SSU rRNA". It matches the Rfam family "Bacterial small subunit ribosomal RNA", at positions 402 to 809 of the family's 1533-position model. The record is from RNAcentral.
UGAGUGAUGAAGGCCUUAGGGUUGUAAAGCUCUUUUACCCGGGAUGAUAAUGACAGUACCGGGAGAAUAAGCUCCGGCUAACUCCGUGCCAGCAGCCGCGGUAAUACGGAGGGAGCUAGCGUUGUUCGGAAUUACUGGGCGUAAAGGGAGCGUAGGCGGACUGUUUAGUCAGAGGUGAAAGCCCAGGGCUCAACCUUGGAAUUGCCUUUGAUACUGGCAGUCUUGAGUACGGAAGAGGUAUGUGGAACUCCGAGUGUAGAGGUGAAAUUCGUAGAUAUUCGGAAGAACACCAGUGGCGAAGGCGACAUACUGGUCCGUUACUGACGCUGAGGCUCGAAAGCGUGGGGAGCAAACAGGAUUAGAUACCCUGGUAGUCCACGCCGUAAACGA